Molecule: ribosomal RNA, 365 nt
Filed under: uncultured bacterium
Lineage: Bacteria
Description: bacterial SSU rRNA
Rfam family: Bacterial small subunit ribosomal RNA
Source: RNAcentral
GGAGGAUGCAAGCGUUAUCCGGAUUCAUUGGGUUUAAAGGGUGCGCAGGCGGAAUGAUAAGUCAGUGGUGAAAUCUCCCGGCUCAACCGGGAAACUGCCAUUGAUACUCCAUUCUUGAGCACAGUUGAAGUGGGCGGAAUGUGUCAUGUAGCGGUGAAAUGCUUAGAUAUGACACAGAACACCGAUAGCGAAGGCAGCUCACUAAGCUUAACUGACGCUCAUGCACGAAAGCGUGGGGAUCAAACAGGAUUAGAUACCCUGGUAGUCCACGCUGUAAACGAUGAUCACUCGUUGUUGGCGAUAUACUGUCAGCGACUGAGCGAAAGCAUUAAGUGAUCCACCUGGGGAGUACGGCGGCAACGUUG